UAAUUGAGAAGGCUAGGGGGAGUUCCGCU
Molecule: non-coding RNA, 29 nt
Filed under: Homo sapiens (human)
Lineage: Eukaryota; Metazoa; Chordata; Mammalia; Primates; Hominidae
Source: RNAcentral